UGGGGAAUUUUGGGCAAUGGGCGAAAGCCUGACCCAGCAACGCCGCGUGAAGGAUGAAGUAUUUCGGUAUGUAAACUUCGAAAGAAUAGGAAGAAUAAAUGACGGUACUAUUUAUAAGGUCCGGCUAACUACGUGCCAGCAGCCGCGGUAAUACGUAGGGACCAAGCGUUGUUCGGAUUUACUGGGCGUAAAGCGCGUGUAGGCGGGUCGUUAAGUUGGGGGUGAAAUCCCGAGGCUCAACCUCGGAACUGCCUUCAAAACUGGCGACCUGGACUCAAGUAGAGGCAAGUGGAAUUGCGAGUGUAGAGGUGAAAUUCGUAGAUAUUCGCAGGAACACCAGUGGCGAAGGCGACUUGCUGGACUUGUAGUGACGCUGAGACGCGAAAGCGUGGGGAGCAAACAGGAUUAGAUACCCCGGUAGUCCCUGAGCGGGCUGGCAAGGCGCAU
Molecule: ribosomal RNA, 447 nt
Filed under: uncultured bacterium
Lineage: Bacteria
Description: bacterial SSU rRNA
Rfam family: Bacterial small subunit ribosomal RNA
Source: RNAcentral